GUGAGGAUUUGACACACGUCCUGAACCUCAGGGUAUAAAACACUGGAAACUGAAAGUUCGUCGUCAGAGUACGUCGUGGCAAAGGGCAUCAAAGUCUUGUCACUGAGGUACGUUGUUAUGUCGCGUUUGACAAUGUCUGUCACACCGAGCACACAAAAGAGCAUGUAGCUUGGCUAGCAACAACUGUACUGCUGCUAACAUCCUGAUCCGAGGUAGAUUUGGAAGAGCAACCUGUGUUGCUGUCGUCGGCAGGUGCAUCCUCGAUUGUAGGGCUUCAACUAGUAGUAGCGGUUGGUGUCUCUUUGGACCGGGGAUUAACUUUUAUUAACCGUUUAUCCAUUUUCGUACAGAAACCGGAAUGAGCUCCCACUUCUCUACACAGGGCAUCAGAGAGUGGAAUUCUGACGAGGGAGCUAACCGUUGUGCCUAUGUGUUUGACUAACCUACCUGUAGCUAUUUUUGACAGUGUACUUAUUUAGCUAAACACUACAAUGUAUACAUGAGUGUAUUUUUGCCAUUGCGACUGGGCUUUUCAGACUAUUUAAGAUUUCAUGACUAUGUAUAGGUCAGUUUGAAAAUGUAAUGGGCUGUUUCCCCCGCGUACCCCCUACGUCCCUUUGCGUACCCCUGGGGCUACAAGUACCCCAGUUGGGGAAACACUGAUCUAGGGCAAAGGUAAGAAGAGUGCAGUUAGAUUAACAGUGAAGGAGUUUCUUAAAUCCAAGGAUGUCUGUAGAAUUGCUGUGAACGCAAUCACCAAUGAUUUCUCACAAAUUCAGCCCUUAACACUACUACUGGAGUAGCAGGUAAUAGGUUGAGUAUGAAGUAUGAGACCAAAUUGAAGUGACUAUGGCCUUCAGAAGCUGAAAUACAGAUGCGCUUGACGCGUGCUAAAAGGGCGUGGCAAAAUCUUGAUGUUUGCUCGGGUUACACUAAACCACAGCACCCUAGUUUUGUUCCUCGUGGUCAAAUUAGCCAGAAACCGUUGAGAAAUGUCAUGCCGCUCAUACUUCAUACUCAACCUAUGGGCUGCUACUGGAGUAUACUGAGUCCGAGCCCAUUUUUCACUCUCUUAGGUAGUCUGCCAUGCCUUGAUAUUUUUGAAUAUUUUCACCUAACUAAAAACAUUGAGGCAAAAGCGGCAUGUAUGAUUAUAUUCUACAAGACCUCUGCAAUAAUAGCAUGAGAGUGAAAGGAAUGUAGUAAAAAAAAGUUUUAUUUAAAUCAAAUCUAAACAAACCCUUACAAAAACAUACUUUCAGAGGUGCUCAGACUUUGUACAAAAAACACAUUGUAA
Molecule: long non-coding RNA, 1297 nt
Organism: Clupea harengus (Atlantic herring)
Lineage: Eukaryota; Metazoa; Chordata; Actinopteri; Clupeiformes; Clupeidae
Source: Ensembl